Molecule: long non-coding RNA, 2313 nt
Organism: Ostrinia nubilalis (European corn borer)
Lineage: Eukaryota; Metazoa; Arthropoda; Insecta; Lepidoptera; Crambidae
Exons: 2
Source: RefSeq, a predicted model, not a curated record
CGCGCGCCGAGCUCGUGUCCUGUCUGCGCCUGCGCCUCGGGCCCGCGGUCAAGGUGUACGCAGCCGUGUGCCUGCUGCGCGAAACAUGCGCGGCGGCCACGUGAUGCCAGGAGUUGCGCGAGCGCGCCCUGCACAUCAUCGUCUGAUUUUGUGCUAUGGACUACAACUGUGUCAUGCGUGACACAUCACGUGACUAUCCACUGCCACGUUAUCUAUUCUAGAUGAGGACAAUAUCACAAUAUUCUGCUAAACAUUGUCUGAGUGUUGUGAACACUUAUUGUGUUGCGAAAAAUGUGUUGUGUUUGCCACAGGCCGAAAAGAUUAUGGCGUGAUAACCGAUUUGUAACGCGUCCUGUGUUACGGACUACAGAAUACCGCACCUAUCUUUGAGUGUGCCCCUUUGCUGUGAACACUAGUGUUGUGUCAAACUGUGCUGUGUUAACCAUAGGCCGAGGGAUUAGUUACUAGGCAUUUUACUCAGGGCAGUAAAAUACGUUACUUCUAUAGUGUUGCGUCGUAAAACUGUGCUAAUCAUAGACAAAGGUGAUCAGUCCACUGCCGCGCUCUAUAUUCUGAAAUAUACAAUGCAAGACCUCUUGCAAUAAAUCAUUGCCCAAAUCCACUUGCGUUUACCAUAGAUGUUAGGAAGAUUGAACAUACAAUGUGACUAGUGGUUAACAAAAGUCUUGAAACAUAUUGUAUAGUAUAUUAUUGUCUAAAAUUUCAAUUAGACUAUUGGUGUGGUGAAGUCAGUUGCAUAUAUCACUUGAACAUUUUAUUAAUGUUGUUUGUUCUGAACAUCCCUGUUUAGAAUUUAGAUGACUAUUUGACUUGUUUAGGAUAAUAAUGUUGUGUACAGUAUAUGGACUUUGAAUUGCCCAGAGGCAUUUGGUUUAUUUUACUAUUUCCAAUUGAUGUUAUGUUCUACAAAAUCAUUUUUGAUGGUGGGUGAUCUUCUGUGAUGACAGUAUUAAAAUAAUCUUACUUACCAGUUAACUUUCCAAAUUAAAGUUAAUUGUAUGCACAAUUUUGUUAGGGUCAUACAACAUCCCUCAAUAAUUUGCAUAAUACCUUGACACUGAUACUAGGAAAAAUCUGUAAAAUCUUAAAUCAUGCUUUAAAUUAUGGGGUUGUGAAUAUGCAAUCUUUUUGUGUCAUGUCCACAAUUGUUUGUAAUGUUAGAUAAUCUAAAGAAACAAAAAUUUUAUUGUAGAAUAAUUUUCAAUCAUUCGAGAACUGUAGAAAAUCUAUUUUAAAUAAAAAUCUAAAUUAAGUAAGAAAAUUAAAAUAUAUUGCAGGGUUCUAUCAUUGUCAGGGCUGGAUAAUGUUUUGGGAUUAAAACCAAAGAGUGUAAAAAGCUGUAAUAUUUGUCUGCUUUAAAGGUCCUCAAGUUAAUUACUUGUUUUGAAAGUAUUAACUUUAUUUAGUAUAUUUUUAUGUGCUAUUAUUGUUCAUGCUAUGCUAAUUAAUUUAUGUGAUUAACAGCAGCUCACUCUUGACAAUUUGUAAAUACUAUUUACCCUAAGAUUCCUGUGCAAUUUAGUGAUACGAAAUUAAAUUUAUUGCGCCUAUCCUAUAUCAUACUUAGUUUUCCACUUUUUUGCAUGUUAUUAAACAUAGUUAAAGAAUUUGAAAUCUAAUGAUUACUUAAUCAUAGUCAUGGUAUUCCUUUUUUCCGAAAACCAUAAUAUUUUAUGAAAUCAUAAUACAUAGUUAUUUUUAUUUAAUUGUGUGCCUUCAGCAAGAGGCUUCUAUUAAUAAAGUCGUUCAUUUUAUAGAAUACUUUCUAGUUGUAAGUUUAAAAUAUAGCAAUACCUAUUUUUUUACAUUGAAGACAUGUAUUAUUUUAAUUAAUAUAUUCAAGCUUUUCUAGGAUCAAUGUUAUGUUCCAAUCGUUAAUUGGUAUAAUAAUAUAAAUGUGUGUAAUUUAAGUAGCAGUAAUUAUUUUUUUCAGGUCUUGAUGAAAUGACCAGUUUUUAGUUGGAUUGAGUUAAAAAAGUAGUCUAGUGUUAAUUAGAUCCUGAUUCAACCAUUCUGUUUCCAAAAUUGAUUUGUGUACUGAGUCAAUCUUUACCUGUAUAGAUUUACGGCUUUUAAAUUUCGAUGAGUUGUAAUAGGUAUUAUGUUUCUGAACAACUGUAAAUAGCGGUUCCUUAUAGGCUACUGAAGGUAUUUUUGUAGUGGCCAUGUACAAAGUGAGAUAAUACCUCUAGUGUAAGUUUUUACACCGCGUCUAGUGUAAGGAAAGUGCCAUUUCGAUUGGUACGAACUUCUAAACUGUUGUUCUGUAAUUUAAUAAAAAACUGAAAGUCA